GGUUAAGUGACUAAGCGUACACGGUGGAUGCCUAGGCAGUCAGAGGCGAUGAAGGGCGUGCUAAUCUGCGAAAAGCGUCGGUAAGGUGAUAUGAACCGUUACAACCGGCGAUACCCGAAUGGGGAAACCCAGUGUGUUUCGACACACUAUCAUGUCAUGAAUACAUAGUGGCAUGAGGCGAACCGGGGGAACUGAAACAUCUAAGUACCCCGAGGAAAAGAAAUCAACCGAGAUUCCCCCAGUAGCGGCGAGCGAACGGGGAGGAGCCCAGAACCUGAAUCGGCUUGUGUGUUAGUGGAAGCGUCUGGAAAGUCGCGCAGUAAAGGGUGAUAGCCCCGUACACUAAAAUGCACAGGUCGUGAGUUCGAUGAGUAGGGCGGGACACGUGACAUCCUGUCUGAAUAUGGGGGGACCAUCCUCCAAGGCUAAAUACUCCUGACUGACCGAUAGUGAACCAGUACCGUGAGGGAAAGGCGAAAAGAACCCCGGCGAGGGGAGUGAAAUAGAACCUGAAACCGUGUACGUACAAGCAGUGGGAGCACCUUCGUGGUGUGACUGCGUACCUUUUGUAUAAUGGGUCAGCGACUUAUAUUUUGUAGCAAGGUUAACCGUAUAGGGGAGCCGUAGGGAAACCGAGUCUUAACUGGGCGAAUAGUUGCAAGGUAUAGACCCGAAACCCGGUGAUCUAGCCAUGGGCAGGUUGAAGGUUGGGUAACACUAACUGGAGGACCGAACCGACUAAUGUUGAAAAAUUAGCGGAUGACUUGUGGCUGGGGGUGAAAGGCCAAUCAAACCGGGAGAUAGCUGGUUCUCCCCGAAAGCUAUUUAGGUAGCGCCUCGUGAACUCAUCUUCGGGGGUAGAGCACUGUUUCGGCUAGGGGGCCAUCCCGGCUUACCAAACCGAUGCAAACUCCGAAUACCGAAGAAUGUUAUCACGGGAGACACACGGCGGGUGCUAACGUCCGUCGUGAAGAGGGAAACAACCCAGACCGCCAGCUAAGGUCCCAAAGUCAUGGUUAAGUGGGAAACGAUGUGGGAAGGCAUAGACAGCCAGGAUGUUGGCUUAGAAGCAGCCAUCAUUUAAAGAAAGCGUAAUAGCUCACUGGUCGAGUCGGCCUGCGCGGAAGAUGUAACGGGGCUAAACCAUGCACCGAAGCUGCGGCAGCGACGCUUAGGCGUUGUUGGGUAGGGGAGCGUUCUGUAAGCCGUUGAAGGUGGCCUGUGAGGGUUGCUGGAGGUAUCAGAAGUGCGAAUGCUGACAUAAGUAACGAUAAAGCGGGUGAAAAGCCCGCUCGCCGGAAGACCAAGGGUUCCUGUCCAACGUUAAUCGGGGCAGGGUGAGUCGACCCCUAAGGCGAGGCUGAAAAGCGUAGUCGAUGGGAAACAGGUUAAUAUUCCUGUACUUGGUGUUACUGCGAAGGGGGGACGGAGAAGGCUAGGCUAGCCGGGCGACGGUUGUCCCGGUUUAAGCGUGUAGGGGGUGUGACCUGGUAAAUCCGGUUGCAUAUCAACCCUGAGGCGUGAUGACGAUGCACUACGGUGCAGAAGUAGUUGAUGCCCUGCUUCCAGGAAAAUCCUCUAAGCUCCAGGUAACAUUAAAUCGUACCCCAAACCGACACAGGUGGUCAGGUAGAGAAUACCAAGGCGCUUGAGAGAACUCGGGUGAAGGAACUAGGCAAAAUGGUGCCGUAACUUCGGGAGAAGGCACGCUGGCAUGUAGGUGAAGUCCCUCGCGGAUGGAGCUGAAGCCAGUCGAAGAUACCAGCUGGCUGCAACUGUUUAAUAAAAACACAGCACUGUGCAAACACGAAAGUGGACGUAUACGGUGUGACGCCUGCCCGGUGCUGGAAGGUUAAUUGAUGGGGUCAGCCGCAAGGCGAAGCUCUUGAUCGAAGCCCCAGUAAACGGCGGCCGUAACUAUAACGGUCCUAAGGUAGCGAAAUUCCUUGUCGGGUAAGUUCCGACCUGCACGAAUGGCGUAAUGAUGGCCAGGCUGUCUCCACCCGAGACUCAGUGAAAUUGAACUCGCUGUGAAGAUGCAGUGUACCCGCGGCAAGACGGAAAGACCCCGUGAACCUUUACUAUAGCUUGACACUGAACAUUGAGCCUUGAUGUGUAGGAUAGGUGGGAGGCUUUGAAGCGUGGACGCCAGUCUGCGUGGAGCCAUCCUUGAAAUACCACCCUUUAAUGUUUGAUGUUCUAACUCGGCCCCAUAAUCUGGGGUGAGGACAGUGUCUGGUGGGUAGUUUGACUGGGGCGGUCUCCUCCCAAAGAGUAACGGAGGAGCACGAAGGUUAGCUAAUCACGGUCGGACAUCGUGAGGUUAGUGCAAAGGCAUAAGCUAGCUUGACUGCGAGAGUGACGGCUCGAGCAGGUACGAAAGUAGGUCUUAGUGAUCCGGUGGUUCUGAAUGGAAGGGCCAUCGCUCAACGGAUAAAAGGUACUCCGGGGAUAACAGGCUGAUACCGCCCAAGAGUUCAUAUCGACGGCGGUGUUUGGCACCUCGAUGUCGGCUCAUCACAUCCUGGGGCUGAAGUAGGUCCCAAGGGUAUGGCUGUUCGCCAUUUAAAGUGGUACGCGAGCUGGGUUUAGAACGUCGUGAGACAGUUCGGUCCCUAUCUGCCGUGGGCGUUGGAAGAUUGAGAGGGGUUGCUCCUAGUACGAGAGGACCGGAGUGAACGCACCACUGGUGUUCGGGUUGUCAUGCCAAUGGCAUUGCCCGGUAGCUAAGUGCGGAAAAGAUAAGCGCUGAAAGCAUCUAAGCGCGAAACUUGCCUCAAGAUGAGUCUUCCCUGGGCCUUUAAGGCCCCUGAAGGAACGUUUAAGACUAAGACGUUGAUAGGCUGGGUGUGUAAGUGCAGCGAUGCAUUGAGCUAACCAGUACUAAUGAUCCGUGAGGCUUAACCUU
Molecule: ribosomal RNA, 2908 nt
Filed under: Serratia ureilytica
Lineage: Bacteria; Pseudomonadati; Pseudomonadota; Gammaproteobacteria; Enterobacterales; Yersiniaceae
Description: 23S ribosomal RNA
Rfam family: Bacterial large subunit ribosomal RNA
Source: RNAcentral